CCCUCUGCGCCCCAAGGACGACCCUGAGGCCGCGCAGGGCGGGACGAAGCCGGAACGCGGGCCUGGGGGCGCACAGCCCUGUCCCUCGGAAGCGGCUGGGCCCAGGCCUGUCCCUGCAGCUCCAGCUCCGAGGUCGGAGCUUUGCCUGUAGAAUAGGCAUUAGCGGGGCAUCGUCCCUUGGGCCUGGGCGCACACCUGCUGCCUCGCCCCGGGCCCUCAGGGCGGCGGACCCCAGGGGACGCCCCGCCGAUGUCCUGUAAUCCAGUAGGACGGGACCGGUCAGAGGCCCGCGAGCGGCAGGGGGAGGCCCUAGAAGCUUCCCGGACCUGCACGGGAACAGCCGGGCGACCUCUCUCGGUCCCAGAGGGACUUCCAGACCCUGGUGUCCCCGGCCAAGCGGCAGGACCUUGACGUCCUGAGACCCCUGGUGAGACCAAGAGCAGUAGGAGAGCCAGCGAAGACCCUACAGGCUCACCAAGAACGAGAAGGCCCUGGCACGCAGCUGACGGACAGGUACCCUGGCCUCUUUGCUUCUCUUCAGACUCCCUGAUUUUUUAAUUUAUUCAUGAGAGGGAGAGAGAGGCUCCAUGCAGGGAGCCCAAUGCAGGACUCGAUCCCGGGACUCCAGCAUCACAGCCUGGGCUGAAGGCAGGAGCUAAACGGCUGAGCCCCGCAGGGAUCAUUUCAAGCACAUGGAAGCUGCAUAAGCAGAGGACUCCACUCAGAACCCGCUUCAGGAAGCCUCUCGUACCAGUCAGGAUGCUUUCAGCUUCAAGCUAGAGAUUCAAGACGGUAAGACGCAGGCUUGGAAUCCUCCUGGCAGGCCAUGCACCGCAGGCAGCCCCCGAGCAAGUUAACUCAGCAGCUUGCCCAUGUCCGCGCCGUCGGCGGCCUCCUCCGUGCCUCGGCUUUCCCCACGUGGUCUCACACCGCAGGCCUCGACUCGGAACAUCAGAUCCACACGAAACCACAUCCAAAGGCAGAAAGAAAUAACAGCUUCCCCCUGCCCCCCACCCCAGGACAUCUUUUAUCAGAGAGGGAAAUCCCUCCCAGCAGACUCUCCCGCUGGGCCCAUUAGGGGGGUCUAGGCUCCUCGCUCCCCCUGGAGAAAUCCUUGGCAAAGGAGAAGCAUUGCUAUGGUUUCCGUGUGACUGGGGGACGGGGGAGCCCCUCUUCUUUGAAUACAUUCUUCCUCUUCUUAAGCAAGUUCCCAUCAACAAGGAUGAGCGGGGACAUGGCCGAGGGAUAGGCUGUCAACGGCGUCAGCCAUGCGCUCUCUCCUCGCGUCCCUCCUCGCCACGGCCUCACCCCUGUGCCCAGCGCCUUCGAGUACUCGGCCUUUGGGCUUUCCCAGCUGUCCCGUAGUGCUGGUUCACCUACCGGCCCCUACACCCGCCUCCGUGCGGCUUAUUCCUCUCUGAGUCUGCAGCACGCAGCAAGGCCGAGCGCAGAGCGCCAGUGAAAGCUAUUGCUUGAGUGUUUCAGUGGUUGAAUUAGUGGCAUGUUCUAGAACUGUGCUUGUGUCAAUGCUAGUAAUUUGACCCAUCUGUGGAGCAAUGGUUUGCCCAUAUGAAGAGACUUACACGUGACCGCACAGUUUGUACCUUUAGCUGCAUGUAAUUUUUUUUUUUUUUUUUGGUUUUGUGACUUAGUCCUCUGCAGCAUCAACCAAAUGACUACUUUCUUCCUUAAAUAGAGUUGAUGUUUCUGGAUCUCCAAAGGACCAUACUGGUGUUGAGCCGUUUUCUUUUUUUUUUUUUUUUCCCUCUUGCGCCAUUAAGCGUCUGCCAAGCCAGCAUAGAUCAACACCAUCUAUUGGCGUCCCAGCCUCAGAGCGGAACUCCAGAGGCAGGGCUUCCUCUUCUGGGUCAAGGUGACCCGUAACUUGCAUCUUCUUCGUGCUAACCCUCGGUCCGCACAGCUGCAGCAUCUCUGUGACGUGGUCAGCGGCUUCUCGCCCUGUGCCUUAGCAAAUAUUUAUUGAGGGGAUUAGUGAAUGAAUCAUCUGACUCGCGUGUAAUCUUCAAAAACAGCCAUAGCAGACAAGAGUCUUAUUUAAGAGGUGUCUGCCUCAGCUCAAACAGCUUUAAGAAUCACCAAAUUAGCAGCUUUUAUCCACGUUGACACUCCGUUCUCAAACUAAUUACCUGCUUAUGCAACUGACCUUAUGAAGGGCUGUUGACACCUCCUUAAGUUGUCUUUGGAAAUCAGAAUUGAACCCAAAAACAAUUAUGAUCUUGCCAGGUUCAAAAACUGCCAUUUUGACAUGGCCAGAAUCUCCCCAUUGAAUUCAGAAAUCGGAUUCAAACCCUAAAGUCGGGAAAAGAAGGGAUGCGAAUCAAACCAGCAGAGGAAUAAUGAACAGAAACAGCCAUUGGUUAACUUAGGCACGGAAAUAAGAAUAGAAGUGUCCACGGAAGCACACACCGCCACUAUUCUAUCAUAGAAUGAACGUUAGCUGGUUGAUGGAAAUUUUGCUUUUGACGUUUAUAUGGACAAUGGUUCCUUAGCAAAAAGAACUGCAGAGCACUGUCACGCCAAUGUCCCAUGUGACAAUAAGCAUCAUCCCUUCAGCAGAAGUCACCGCUAGCGUCCUAGACCGUCCCUUCAGAGCAAUCAGACAUCAAACAGGGUAUCCUAUUAGACGUUAGGGUCCAUGAAAGCAAAGUCAUGGCAUCAUGGUGUCACGGCCCAGACUGCCAGGCAGGGGUACCUUCCGUCACGGGGCCCACGGGCAGGACUUGUCGGAGGAUCACAGAGACCACGAUGGCAACGUAACCAGAGGCCCGGUAACUCCUGCUGGAAUGGAGCAGCGUCCUCACGACAACAUGCUCAGGCACAGCCUCCAAACUUCAGCAGUCAGAAAUGGGGCUCCUUGGGCCCAGGAUUCGGCCUGGGAACGAAGGAACAGAGCUCCCAGCAAACGUGGCCCUGUCACAACAAACCAAGGGCCGAUCCUGGCUCACCGGGCCAUAAAUUCCUGGGGAGCAGGAACAGCUCGGUGGUGACAAUAUUAUUCAUAAAUAAUAUUCAGGUUUGGGCUGACUAUGCAAUGCACAUUCAUAAAAUCAUCAAGUGAAGGUGAGCUUUAGAAUCUGUUUAAUCCAAAACUCCUCAUUUCACUAAAGAGAAAUCAAAUUGGUUUUGUUUUGUUUAAAGACUUUAUUUAUUUAUUCAUGAGACACAGAGAGAGGCAGAGACACAGCAGAGGGAGAAGCAGGCUCCAGGCAGGGAGCCCGACGUGGGACUCGAUCCCAGGACCUCAGGUCACGACCUGAGCCUAAGGCAGAUGCUCAACUGCUGAGCCCCCCAGGCGUCCUGAAGAAAUCAAGUUUUAAAGAUGGGAAGGGCAAGACCCUUCCCACACAGUUUUGGACUCCAUAUGCUCUGAUUAACUCUUCAUACAAUAACAAUUGUGUAAUCUUUUCUAAAGAGAAAAAAAAAUUCAGCGUUUUAGCAAAAAAUAUUUUUUCUCAAUUAUUUAUUAAUGGUAUAGAAAAGUUACUUUCAGCUUCAUAAGUUAUUGUAUUGAGCUGCAUGCUUGUGCAAUGAAUUACUCUUAUGCUGCACAGUGAAUCAGAGACGAAUCUGGGUCGGGCUUUUGUUCAGGGAAACACGUCUCGUCGGGCUGCUGCUUGCAUGCUGUUUCCUCUGCAACCAGCAGGCUUCCUCAGAACCGGAUAGAUCAGAUGCACAAAAGCACAAUCUGAUAUGCGUGCAGAAAACACAACUUCACAUUCAGGAUGGGCUCAGCAUUUGUAGGACACGCAGGAAUUCAGGCUAAAUUCUAUUUUUUGAGGCUUUCCGUCAUAAUAUGAAAGACUGUAAGGGCUGUUUAUCCGUGUCCACGCUACCUUCCCAAGUACGUUUCUGACAGCAGAGAACUUCCCUUCUGACGAAGAUGAUUAGCACAGAAUUCUCCAACUACAGUUUUAUCCAUCCGUGAUUCAAAGAAUGCUUCGCAGCCUUGCACUGGGUACGCUUGGAGCCUUGCGUCUCUUGAGCUCCUCCUAGUUCCAGAGUGGGAGCUGGGGCCUCGUGCAGAACGUCAGCGCCUCCGGCCCCCACCCCGUGUCACUUCACUGCGUCAGCACAGUGAGUGGGAGACUUCCAGGAAGUCCUUUGCAGGGGGGGGAGCUAACACCAGCCCAACUAUAGGUUCAGGGGGCUGGAAACCACGUACAUCCCACUAAACCACGCUCGGAUACGUCCUCGUUAACCUCUGUCCUGUCAGCGGGAUCCCACGGAGUUCACAGCUGUGAUGAAGUCACCUGACCCAAGACGACAGGCAAAAGACAGUGGUCUUAAUUUAUUGUGGUUAAAACACUAUUUAAAAUAUUUUUACAAACACAGUCAUGGGAACAUAGAGCUGGUGACCCCAUGAGGGGCCCUUGAAGCUUUAUGACCUUCGCGCUCCUUGUGACCUCUGUAUCCUCCUGGAAGAGGCAUAGUGAAUCAUAGUAAUUAACUUUCUAAUGUUAGAACUUCACAUUUUGUGGAUAAUUACAGCUUAUUCAUGAUAUAUUAUUAAAUUUCACAUUGCUGAGUUAAGUCUGCUAAUAUUUUUGUGUAGAAUGUAUCUGUGUUCAUAAAUGACACUGUAUUAAUUUGCAUUUCUUGUACCAUCCUUGCCAAGUUUGGUAUUAAGACAGGUUACAUUCGCAUGUUCUGGAAUAAUUUUUAUAAAAUUGACCUUUUUGUUCCUUGAAUGUUUGAUAUCACUUAGCAAAACUGCCUGGAGCUGGAUUAUUUUUUUUUUUGUGGGGAUAUUUCCUGUUAUUUGACUAUUUUUAUUGAUUAUGGAACUAUUUACAUUUUCUAUUUCCUCUUGAAUCAGUUUUGGGGUUUUAUAUUUUUCUAGGAUUUUUCAAUUUUGUCUAAUUUUUUUUUCAAUUCAUUGGCAUUAAGUUGUUCAAAAGAUGGUAUUUUCUUUUUAAUAUAUCCAGUUAUGUUUUUUACAUUUUUACAUUAUACGAUUUUUACAUUUACGUUAGAAAGUCAGUUACUAUCGUUAACUUGUGCCUCCUCUUUCUCUCUCUCUCUU
Molecule: long non-coding RNA, 5044 nt
Organism: Canis lupus familiaris (dog)
Lineage: Eukaryota; Metazoa; Chordata; Mammalia; Carnivora; Canidae
Exons: 4
Source: RefSeq, a predicted model, not a curated record